UACGAAGGGGGCUAGCGUUGUUCGGAAUUACUGGGCGUAAAGCGCACGUAGGCGGUUAUUUAAGUCAGGGGUGAAAUCCCAGAGCUCAACUCUGGAACUGCCUUUGAUACUGGGUAUCUCGAGUAUGGAAGAGGUGAGUGGAAUUCCGAGUGUAGAGGUGAAAUUCGUAGAUAUUCGCAAGAACACCAGUGGCGAAGGCGGCUCACUGGCCCGGUACUGACGCUGAGGUGCGAAAGCGUGGGGAGCAAACAGG
RNAcentral lists this ribosomal RNA (253 nucleotides) under uncultured bacterium. RNAcentral's name for it is "partial 16S ribosomal RNA". It matches the Rfam family "Bacterial small subunit ribosomal RNA", at positions 524 to 776 of the family's 1533-position model. The record is from RNAcentral.